Molecule: ribosomal RNA, 1381 nt
Filed under: uncultured bacterium
Lineage: Bacteria
Description: 16S ribosomal RNA
Rfam family: Bacterial small subunit ribosomal RNA
Source: RNAcentral
GAGUUUGAUCCUGGCUCAGGACGAACGCUGGCGGCGUGCUUAACACAUGCAAGUCGAACGAUGAUGCCCUGCUUGCAGGGUGGAUUAUUGGCAAACGGGUGAAUAACACCCUGGGUGAUCUGCCCCGCACUUCGGGAUAAACCUGGGAAACUGGGCCUACUACCGGAUACAAACCCCUCGUAGGUCAGGGGGUGGAAAUAUUUAUCGGUGUGGGAUGAGCCUGCGGCCUAUCAGCUUGUUGGUGGGGUAAUGGCCUACCAAGGCGUCCACGGGUACCCAGCACUGAGAGGGUGAUCGGACACAUAGGGACUGAAACACGGCCCAGACUCCUACGGGAGGCAGCCAGUGGGGAAUAUUGCACAAUGGGCGCAUAGCCUGAUGCAUCGACGCCGCGUGGGGGAUGACCGCCUACGAGUUGUAAACUCCUCUCGACAAGGACCAAGCGUAAUAGUGACCGUACCUGUACAAUAAUCACCGGGUAACUACCUGCCAUCAGACGCGGUAAUACGUAGGGUGCGAUCGUCGUCCGUAAUUACUGGGCGUAAAGACCUCGUACGUGGUCUGUCACGUCGUCUGUGAAAUCCCGGUGCUUAAUCUCGGGCAUGCAAGCGAUACGGGCAUAACUUGAGUGCUGUACGGGAAACUGCAAUUCCUGAUGUAUCGGUAAAAUGCGCANAUGUCACGAUGAACACCAAUGGCUAAGGCAGGUCUCUGGGCAGUAACUGACUUAGAGGAGCGAAAGCAUGGUACGCGCACAGGAUUAGAUACUGUGGUAGUCCAUCCCGUAAACGGUGGGCGAUAGGUGUAGGGGACUUACACGUCUUCUGUGCCGCAGAUAACGCAUUAAGCGCCCCGCGUGGGGAGUACGGCCGCAAGGCUAAUACUCGAAGGAAUUGACGGGGGCCCGCACAAGCGGCGGAGCAUGUGGAUUAAUUAGAUGCGACGCGAAGAACCUUACCUGGGCUUGACAUACACCAGAUCGCUGCAGAGAUAUAGCUUCCCUUGUGGUUGGUGUACAGCUGGUGCAUGGUGGUCGUCAGCUCGUGUCGUGAGAUGAUGGGUUAAGUCCCGCAACGAGGGCAACCAUCGUCUUAUGUAGCCAUCACGUGAUGGUGGGCAAUCAUGAGAGACUGCCGGGGUAAAAUCGGAGGAAGGUCGGGAUGACGUCAAAUCAUCAUGCCCCCUAUGUGCAGGGGUUCACACAUGCUACAAUGGUCGGUACACCGAGUUGCCACACCGUGAGGUGGAGAUAAUAUCUCCAAGCCGCCCUCCGUUCGGAUUGGGGUUUGCAAAUUGACCCCAUGAAGUCGGAGUCGGUAGUAAUUGCAGAUCGGCCACGCUGCGGUGAAUACGUUCCCGGGCCUUGUACACACCGCCCGUC